GAUCCUGGCUUAGGAUGAACGCUAGCUACAGGCUUAACACAUGCAAGUCGAGGGGCAGCAUGAUCUAAGCUUGCUUAGAUUGAUGGCGACCGGCGCACGGGUGAGUAACGCGUAUCCAACCUUCCCUAUAGUAGAGGAUAGCCCGGCGAAAGUCGGAUUAAUACUCUAUGUUUUCCAAUGCAGACAUCUAAGUUGGAACAAAGGUUUACCGCUAUAGGAUGGGGAUGCGUCUGAUUAGAUAGUAGGCGGGGUAACGGCCCACCUAGUCGACGAUCAGUAGGGGUUCUGAGAGGAAGGUCCCCCACAUUGGAACUGAGACACGGUCCAAACUCCUACGGGAGGCAGCAGUGAGGAAUAUUGGUCAAUGGGCGAGAGCCUGAACCAGCCAAAGUAGCGUGCAGGAAGACGGCCCUAUGGGUUGUAAACUGCUUUUAUCGGGGGAUAAAGUGAGGGACGUGUCCCUUAUUGUAGGUACCCGAUGAAUAAGGACCGGCUAAUUCCGUGCCAGCCGCUGC
Molecule: ribosomal RNA, 515 nt
Filed under: uncultured bacterium
Lineage: Bacteria
Description: bacterial SSU rRNA
Rfam family: Bacterial small subunit ribosomal RNA
Source: RNAcentral